This 3852-nucleotide long non-coding RNA is filed under the name Sus scrofa (pig). RNAcentral's name for it is "lncRNA (ENSSSCG00015031078.1)". The record is from RNAcentral. Lineage: Eukaryota; Metazoa; Chordata; Mammalia; Artiodactyla; Suidae.
GCAGAGUAAGAUGUUAUUAACUGAAAUUGAGGUUAAAAAAGAUAUUUAUUUAUAUAUGCUAUCAGGUGAGAAAUAACAUACUUUAAUUUUCUUUCUGAAAAUUUCUCUGUUCUCUGAAAUUUGAGAAUUUGAAAUCUUUUCAGCUUUUUAAUUUAUAUAAAAGAUGAGUUAUAAACCAGUUUUAUUAUGAAAGUAACUUUUAUUACCAUAGAGUUUAAAGACUAAUAUUCUAAGUGGCAAAGAUGAUGACAAGACUAAUGUAAACUGGUGAAAUCUCUUCAGUGUGGUCAGCCUAAUAUAGUUAAGAAAUAAAAUUAUUAGGCUAUAUUUAUUGGAUGCUGAAAUUCAAGUGGAUGUUAUAUAAAGAGAUCAAGGAAUUAUUGAAUUCUGUUUCCCAAAGAUGCAAUACCUAUGUUCUGUUGUAGAAGGAAAAAAAAAAAAAAAGCCAACAUUGUGGGUAUAGAAACAAAAGAAUUGAAAGCAAGAACUUGAACAGGUAUUUGUUUACCUAUGUUCACAGCACCAUUAUUCAUAAUAGCCAAAAGUUGGAAGCAACCCAAAUGUUCGGUGAUGAAUGUGUGGGAAAACAAAAUGUGGUAUAUACAUAGGCUGGGAUAGUCUAAGAGAGGAAUGGAAUUCUGAUACAUCCUAUAGGAUGGAUGAUCCUUGAAGACAUUAUGCUAAGUGAAAUAAACCAGACACAGAAAGACAGAUAUCAUGUGAUUCCAACUGCAUGAGGUAUGUAGGAUAGACAAAUACAUAAACAAAGACAGAAAGUAGAACAGUGGUUACCAGUGACUGGAGGAAUGAGGAAAUUGGGAGUUGCUCUUUAAUGGUUACAGAGUUUCAGUUUAGGAUUUAAAAAGUUCUGGAGAUACACUGUGGUGAGCUGUUGUACAACAAUGUGAAUGUACUUAAUGCCACUGAAUUGUAUACUUAAAAUGACAAAUUCUAUGAUAUUAUGUAUAUUUUAGCACUAUUAAAAAAAAUCCUAGAAAAGGGUACCACACUCCCAGGCAUUUUACUGGGUAAAAGUAUUUUUUAGGGACCUUGCAAUUAAUCAAAAUAUAAAAAUAAUUAGCCUAUCCUCAUACCCUUGCACUCCUAAAUUGGAGUGGGAAUUUAUACUUGCUACAUCUUAAUUUUUUUAAAGUGAUUUGGUGAAUUACUGUUAGCUUUAUCUACAAAGGUCAAAGCUCUUUAGUCUGAUAUGAUAAGGAAUUAGAGUGUAUAAUCACACACAAAAAGAAAUGUGGAAAGUAGGAUAAACAAGUAUCUAUGUGGAACCCCUUAGGCAAUGUUAAUUAGCCCCCAGUGUCUUAGUUUCCGCUUUAUGAAACUGGUCAUUGUGGGAAUUACAGGACAAUUGAAGGCACCUAUCAUCAUCUUAGACACAGAGCAAGUUCUUGAUGAUGGGUGGUUAUUAUUGGUUUUUCUCUGUUUUGAUUGUUGUUGGUGCUUGAGCUUUCAAGAUGUGUAGAUAUAAAUUUGAUAUAAAUAAUAAAACAUUCAACUAAACCCUUACUAUAAAUAUGUGGAGUAUGGAGUCAUACAAAUGAGCUUCAGGACCUAAAUCCAAAUCUGUAAAAAAUAGAUUAGCCACAUGUGUACAUGCUAGAGAGCCACACUUUCUUUUUUUUUUGGCUUUUUAGGGAUGUACUCGCAGCAUAAUGAGGUUCCCAGGCUAGGGGUUGACUUGGAGCUACAGAUGCUGGCCUACACAACAGCCACAGCAAUGCAGGAUCCAAGCCGCACCCGACCUGCACCACCGCUCACGGCAAUGCCAGAUCCUUAACCCACUGAGCGAGGCCACGGAUCAAACUGCAACCUCAUGGUUCCUAGUCGGAUUCAUUUCUGCUGCACCAAGAUGGGAACUCCUGAGAUCUGCACUUUCUCUUUCUUCUCCCCCGCUCACUCCCCAGUAGCCUCAGAGGAAGAGGAUGAAUAAUAAGGUCACCAAAUAGUCUUUACAAGUAUUUUCAGCUUACUAAAAACAUUCGUAUGUGACUGUAUUUCACCUUCACAUUAACCUCUCCAAAAUUCCUCUGAAAAUCUUCUAAAAUUCCUAAAGCAGGGAUUGUGAAUGUCAGGGUCACAAGGUCAUGGGACAAAGUCCAAGUCUAGCCCCUUCCUCCAUGUCUUGCUGAGCACCAUAGAGUAGACCUGGAUCAAGGAUCAAGUAUCUUGUGUUUCAUUCAUAUUGGAUUCUUACUACAUGAGUUUAUUCAAGAAAAAACGGUGACCCAAAAUUCAUUAAUCAGCAACUUACAGUUUCUUCAGACUGAAAGCCUUGGACAUAGGUACUCAGAUCAAUUAAUAAUCAUUCUUGACAGUCUUAAGGGGCAGAUAUUCUAAAUAGCCAUAGGAAUUUCGAUAGAAGAAUUCUCUAUCUCUAAAUCUUAGAAUAUUUGAGUCUUAGAAUAUCAUAAUGAAGCUGAUAGCAAGAGUUGAAUUGCAAACCUCUUACAAUGCCAGCGUGGAGAGAUAUAACCAUGUUUACCCAAUUUUUUUUUUUUCCCCCACUGUACAGCAAGGGGGUCAGGUUAUCCUUACAUGUAUACAUUACAAUUACAGUUUUCCCCCCACCCUUUCUUCUGUUGCAACAUGAGUAUCUAGACAUAGUUCUCAAUGCUAUUCAGCAGGAUCUCCUUGUAAAUCUAUUCUAAGUUGUGUCUGAUAAGCCCAAGCUCCCGAUCCCUCCCACUCCCUCCCCCUCCCAUCAGGCAGCCACAAGUCUCUUCUCCAAGUCCAUGAUUUUCUUUUCUGAGGAGAUGUUCAUUUGUGCUGGAUAUUAGAUUCCAGUUAUAAGUGAUAUCAUAUGGUAUUUGUCUUUGUCUUUCUGGCUCAUUUCACUCAGUAUGAGAUUCUCUAGUUCCAUCCAUGUUGCUGCAAAUGGCAUUAUGUCAUUCUUUUUUAUGGCUGAGUAGUAUUCCAUUGUGUAUAUAUACCACAUCUUCCGAAUCCAAUCACCUGUCGAUGGACAUUUGGGUUGUUUCCAUGUCCUGGCUAUUGACAUUUUAAAAGAGGUAUUAAAAAAAAAAAAGUUUACCCAAUUUUUAAUACCUCUUUUAAAAUGUUUUCUGUGCCUAUAUAUUUUCCUCACACAAAUUUGUUUAUGUAGUACAUCCAUUGCCUGCCUUCCUACUUCAGUUGCCUAAAUUUUAGUAGAGUUUCUUUUGUAUCUCUUCACCAGCAAUUUGCUUGAUGGAGGUUCAGGCAGAUCUUUAUGGUCAUGGCUCCUUCGAAAAUUAUCCAUGUUUGGUCAGUGCUCUGGGCUAAAACUGAUCAUCAGCAUUACUUCACUCUAGAAAAUAGACUGUUUUGGUUUUAUGUGGGAACAUUGUACAUCUGGAUUGCUGUGUUAAUAUAACAUGCCAGUGAAUGAUGGUUUAAAGACCAUUUUUAUUGUAUAAAAGUUUAUGAUAUUUUGUUUUCAUACUUCAUAAUAGGGUUAGUUUUUUGUUUUUGUGUGUAUGUGUGUGUGUUUUAGUAUUAAUGUAUAGAGGACACGCCAUUUGUUUUGUUAAUUGCUACAUGCCACUUUAAAGUUUAUUAUUCCCCCAAAGGAAAGGGCAACUCCAUUCUUUUACAACACCUAUGUAAAACCCAGAUGACUUAACUUGCUUUUAGAGUACUAUAUUUUCUAAAUAGAUGGUGUGAGAAACUGCAUGCGUAUAGGAAACUUGCUUUAAGUGACAACUCUAGGGACCAGCAAAAAUUGACUGCCUAAGAAAGAUAUAUAGUUAACUAAAAAUUGAACAAAAACUAUCCCUGAAAUUUGGAAUACAUUUAAAGCAGCUGUAUAAAUCAUCAACAAUUUGUGUAGCUGAUGCCAGAAAGAAAAAAAAAAAA